This 23-nucleotide microRNA is filed under the name Homo sapiens (human). RNAcentral describes it as "hsa-miR-5188". Lineage: Eukaryota; Metazoa; Chordata; Mammalia; Primates; Hominidae. The record is from miRBase by way of RNAcentral.
AAUCGGACCCAUUUAAACCGGAG